CCUACGGGUGGCAGCAGUGGGGAAUAUUGGACAAUGGGGGCAACCCUGAUCCAGCCAUGCCGCGUGAGUGAAGAAGGCCCUCGGGUUGUAAAGCACUUUCAGUGAGGAAGAACGCCUGGUGGUUAAUACCCAUCAGGAAAGACAUCACUCACAGAAGAAGCACCGGCUAACUCCGUGCCAGCAGCCGCGGUAAUACGGAGGGUGCGAGCGUUAAUCGGAAUUACUGGGCGUAAAGCGCGCGUAGGGGGCUUGAUAAGCCGGUUGUGAAAGCCCCGGGCUCAACCUGGGAACGGCAUCCGGAACUGACGAGCUAGGGUGCAGGAGGGGAAGGUAGAAUUCCCGGGGUAGCGGGGAAAUGCGUAGAGACCGGGAGGAAUACCAGUGGCGAAGGAGGCCUUCUGGACUGACACUGCGCCUGAGGUGCGAAAGGGUGGGUAGAAAACAGGAUAAGCUACCGCUGUAGUC
Molecule: ribosomal RNA, 465 nt
Filed under: Vreelandella stevensii
Lineage: Bacteria; Pseudomonadati; Pseudomonadota; Gammaproteobacteria; Oceanospirillales; Halomonadaceae
Description: partial 16S ribosomal RNA
Rfam family: Bacterial small subunit ribosomal RNA
Source: RNAcentral